AUUCUGGAGAUUAAAUUCUAGUUGGUCUCAGGUACCUGGAGUCAGAGUUGUGGCCAGUCACUCUGAAGAGUCAGCUCCACAGAGGAGGUCUGUGAUCAUAACACCAGGACCCUGGGAACCCAGUUUGUAUUACCCUAGGAUACAGGAGCCCCCUCCCCAAUCCAGGGGCCCUGUCCCCGAGAAGCCAUGGUCUGGCUCUGACUGGGAGUCGGGCUGCUGAGCGUUGUGCAGGAUGAGAUGCAACAGUGCCAGGGGCCCUGGUCUGAAGCAGCCUGGGACGGACUGCCGAGGCAUAGUGCAUCCCCUCCGCAUACCCAGCCUCUCCCUGUCCUCUCCACACUCUGAGGGGAUCCCUAGAGGACAGGGCGGGAGCCUCUCAGGCUGACCAGAGACUCCUGGGAGGUCUGGGCCCGUGGGAGGGCUUACAGAAGGCUCUCUGACCCUGUCUCUCUGGCACCCACAGGUUUUGACACGAUCAUCUGACUGGACAAGGACCUGCACUCACAAGGUCAGGUCUGGGCCUUUGUGGCUCCACCUCAGGGCCCGACCCACAGCGCCCCAAGGACCCAGAAAUGUCUAAUAGGUUCUGCCACACACAUGGGUCUGCUUGCUUCUAUUUCUAGAGAGAAAAGAAAGUUCAAAAUACAUACUUAGGUAGAGACACAGCAAGCCCGUUGGGCUGCCGCUGGCUCUGCCCCUCGGGGCGGCGGGGACCACUUAGAAGACAAGGAGCUGCCUCACCCCACGGCAAGGGCCAUGUGUGGCCCUGGAGCCAAACUGGAGCUAAGAGCAAGCCCAGCCCCACCUCAGUCCGGGGCUGCCCACAGGACAGGCCUGACACGGGGAGGAGAUAUGGUGGGCUUCAGUCAGAGUCACAGGCCUCUUGCUCGGUGGUAGCGUCCACUGCAGAGGCCAGGCUGUCCUCCUGGCCUUUCAGCCUCUCACCUGGGUGGGUGGCAGACAGAAGGAGUGGGGAGGGGCCCUUGUUUGGGCCACCUGCUCCCCACCCAGGGCAGGGAUCCUGCCUUGCCAGGCCCCGCACUUACGGAUCAGUUCAGCGAUGGCCCUCUGGGUCCGCUUCUCUAGCUUCUCCAGCUUCUUGGCUACGUCUCUCUUGAGGUCCCUGGAGCAGGCAGGUGCAAGGAAGCCAGAAGGUGAAGGUUGGCUGGGUGUGGCCUUGGGAUCCUCCCCUCCCUGAGCCCCUCUGCCAUUAGGAACCACAUUCAGGGGCCUCAGGAGACCACCCCGGGGAGGAGGCCAGGGUGUUCCUCUCUCCCUUCCUGCAUCCUACAAGACCCAGCAUCAGCCCGCCUGCCCCGACUGGUGCCACAGACCCACCAAACACAGGCCUGGGUCAAGGUGUGGCAGAGGGCUGCUCUCUUGGUCUGGUCCCCUCAGGCACCAUCAGGGAGUGACUUUCCCUGGCUCACGGUGGGUUCUGCUCCUCCUCCAGCCACAUGCUCACCCUCACCACCAGGAGCUUCCAGAAGGCCUACUCUCCCGACUCAGGGAUUCCUAGGACACAUGCCCCAGGCUUUUGUUUCCACAAAUGAGAACACCUUUGGCGGUGCUGUACUUGCCACAGGAUCGCAGCAUGGCUUUGUGAAGAACCAAGAGGACUGGCUUUCCCCUAAUCUACAGGGGUUCCUAGGCUUGGAGGAUGUCCCCUGGAUCCUGGACUGGCUUUUCUUCCCAUCCCACUCAGUGUGGAGCAUCUCCAGAAGCUCCUGGCUGCUGUGCUGUUCCCCACACCACGGGAGAUGGGCAGCCCCAGGCCCAGGCCCCCGCCCCACCGGCAGGAACACCUCUCCGACCCUCUGUGCCUGGGCCGGCAGCGUGCACCUGAAUGGUCGGCCUUCUUCAGGGUCUCGCUGUGACCUCCAAGUGCCCACAGCACCAUCUCCACCCUCCCACCCUCCCCCUUGUCCCCCGCUGUCCCAAGGCCCCGGGGCCACUUCCACUUCUCAGUCCAGAGAGGUCCUCCCAGGGGAUGUGGCUUCUUUGCUUGCAGAUCCCUGGAAGACCCUCGGGUGCCCUGACCACCUCUCUGCCAUCACUCAACCCUGAUUACUUCUGCAUGGUCGUGAGGCGGUGCUAGAGGGUCCCAAGGGCCCAGCUUCCAGCCCUGGCACUGCCAGAUAUUCUCUGAGAGAGGGCGACACUUGCCAAGGUGGAGGCAUCUGAUGGUGCCUCAGAGCAGAGGUGGAGAAAAGCAGUCCACCUACCCGCAACUGGUUUGGCCUGUGGCACCCUCCUCCUCUUCAGGUCCUCAUCCUCUGGGACAUAGUUCCGCAGCCUGAGUUCCCUAUGAAAGCAAAUAACAAGCAGAGAUGGAGUGGAGUGUAUGGCCAUCGUGUUCACCCCAUACAUCUGCAGGUCAGACUGCAAUGAAGCCACAUAAGCUAGUGUGUGCCUUCUCGACUUUCCUCCAUUCUCUCUGGAGACAGCCUGGCGAAGAGGGAAAGCACAGGAACAGAAGGACCACCGGGACAGGCCCCCCACUCCAAGCCUCAGCCCCACGCAGGCUGCUCUGCCAAGGUUUGCUUGCACUGAGGGCUCUCACCCAGAGCUGGGACCAGGGGGGCCUGGGGAGCACUCACUGGCUGUCUCUCCUGGAGGAGCUCCAUCUGACAGUGAGGGUAACUGAGGGUCAGAGAGACCGCACCCCUGUCCUCAGGUCCCAUGGCAGUGGCUGCAGCACCUGACCUGGAGUCAGGGUCAGAGCUCCUGGGCUGAGUUUCUCCCCACGGAGACACCGGUGGUCACAUGUUGGUUCUCUAGGUCUGGCCUCUUUCUCAGAGCCUUGGUGGCCUGGAGCCACCGGUACAGACCUCAACUCUUGGUGGUAAGGGUGUGCAUGAGCAGCUGGCAAGAGAGAAGCAUGGGGACAACACUGUGCAAGGCUGGAAAAGCCAGGUCACGGGGACAGCCAGGAGAACGGCCCAGCCUCACGGUGGCAAGAGGUCUUUAAAAUGCCACUGGCGGGAUCCCUGGGUGGCGCAGCGGUUUGGCGCCUGCCUUUGGCCCAGGGCGCGAUCCUGGAGACCCUGGAUCGAAUCCCACAUCAGGCUCCCGGUGCAUGGAGCCUGCUUCUCCCUCUGCCUGUG
Molecule: long non-coding RNA, 3107 nt
Organism: Canis lupus familiaris (dog)
Lineage: Eukaryota; Metazoa; Chordata; Mammalia; Carnivora; Canidae
Exons: 3
Source: RefSeq, a predicted model, not a curated record